GCACACAACACUGUACCGGUAUGUAUAGUAUCGAGAUCCUGUUUCAGUAGCUAGUAUUCAGUUACCCUACUUCAUCGUGGCUUCGAUAAAACUCCCACAAACAAACGGAAUUUCAGAAAUUUGUGAGAAUUUGUUGAUUAUUGGCAUUAUUUUUCAGGAAUCAUCAAACCCAGCUUCGACCGACAGAGCCAAGUGAACGAGAUUGACCACUGAAGAAGGAGAGAUAAUCCUUGACCUGUUACCAUGACGACCAUGCAGCGGUUGAACCAGGAUCUGGACCAGCUGGACAGUCUCCGGGCUGGUGGGAAUUUGCCCCAGAACGGACAGUACAAGCCAGGGACCGUCUACACGCAGAAGGUCACCACCACCCAGACGUUCUUUGGGACUCAACCGAAGAAGUAUGCCCCUGUCGUGGGUCCAAAACCGCGGAAUGCCCUGCCCCCAUCGGGAUCCAAAGGUGAGUCCUAUUUGGGAGAAUUCCGGCACUGCAAAACUUGAUGCAUCUCUUUUUAGUGGUGGCCGUAAUCACGGAUUGUCCUUUUAUAUGCACUUUACACGUUCACCUGGCAAGCUGAAGAUGAUCUGAAAUAUUGAAAUGUAAAAAAAAAAAAAUUGGUAUAUUUAUUUAAACAAUACAUGUUUAAUUGUACUACAAAGUGCUGCUACCAGAAAAUGGAAUUUCCUUGAAUUGGGUUAGUAUUUAUCAUAGACCUCAAUCAUGUGUUUUCAAAGCAAAAGUUUAAUAGAGAAUUUUUUUGGCAAGUGAUUUGUAGCAUGAUGCAAAUUUCCAAUUAUUUAUUAUUUGGACAAUACUACCCUAUGAACCCCGUGAACUCUAAGAUUAAUUCUAUUUGGAUAAUUUUGUAAAUUUAUAUUUCAGAUCAUACGAGUUUGUUUUACCUGUAGACAGAUUUUUUUUAUCUGGACUAGUUAGUGGUACAAGUUUUGCACUAGAAAGGCUGCAUUUCACCUUUACAACUCUGCAAAUCCAACAUCUUGCUUGUCAAUCUGUUCAGUGUAGAAAGUUUGCACAAUACAGCAUGAGCACUUUCAUAAUUUGAUGUACAUAUUGAUAAUGAUAGUACGGUUCUUAAUACGCAUAACACCUACAGGUCUCUAUGCGUGAGGAAUGCGGGAAAUAUGGUUAGAAUUGUAGAUUUAACAAUUAGACAUCAAAUAUAUAUUAUAAACAUCAUUCUGAAAUUAAAACAUGGAUUGAACCUAACUACAUGUAAGUUAAACAUUCUGAAAGAGGUGGGUUUUUAUUGUACAUUUGUAGACUAGAAGAAUCAAGAAAGAAAUAAUCGUCAUUUGGAUACAUGUCAUGAAUUAGAUUAUAUGAAUACAAUUUAUUUAAACAAAAAUAGGGAUAAUACAAUCAAAAUUCUAAUGAUUGUAUUAAAAGGGUGUUUAAAUUUUUAUUAUUUUAUUCCUUCUUCAUAAAUUUUCUUUUGUUGUCAUUCUCCAAUUGGCUUUUACCUCAAAACCAUACUUUUUAAACUAGUGAAUUGAAAGUGAUGAUUAAAAAGGUUUGAUACCAACUAAAAGCUACCACUGUACAAAUAUCAAGGGAUUCUGGCCUUGGGAAAAGCUCAUUAAGAUAGCCCCAAGACAUUUUUUUUCCAUAGGUCAAUAAAAAAGUCAAUAUUAGAUGAGAUGAAUAUUUGUUUAAUAAUUUAAUUACAUGGUUGGACUGGAAGCAUGCAAUGACAUUGGCACGAUAUUGAUGAGUGAAGGUUUGAUCAAUGCUAUAUUUUGUUAACAUUCCUCUGUCUAAUUUCAGUGAAUACCGGUAUAAUCUAUUUUUAAAAAGUCAUGAAUUACUGUGAGAGCAUGCUUGACAGUGCUGAAAUUUUGUUAUGUGUAAUGUUAUGAAGCAUGAUCUAUCAAGCAUGUUAAUUUGUUCCUUCAGAAUAUGGAAUUUUUUUUUAUAGACCCUACAUGUACAUGUACAUGUAUAUGAUUCGCACGAUUAUGAAGAAAAAGAAGAGUUGAAACACAGAACAAAAUUUUAUGUUAAAAAAGUUUGAGCCUGAUAACAAUGAUUAAAAUUAACCCCCCC
Long non-coding RNA from Lytechinus pictus (painted urchin), 2062 nucleotides. RefSeq lists it as uncharacterized. NCBI's taxonomy places the organism in Eukaryota, Metazoa, Echinodermata, Echinoidea, Temnopleuroida, Toxopneustidae. The transcript is spliced from 2 exons. The record is from RefSeq and is a predicted model, not a curated record.